GUUAUAUGGUCAAGUGACGAAGCGCACACGGUGGAUGCCUAGGCGGUCGGAGGCGAAGAAGGACGUGGUAGCCUGCGAAAAGUCUCGGGGAGCCGGCAAACAGGCCUUGAUCCGGGAAUAUCCGAAUGGGGAAACCCACUUGGCUGAGGCCAAGUAUCCUGUUCUGAAUCCAUAGGGACAGGAGGCGAACCGGGGGAACUGAAACAUCUCAGUACCCCGAGGAACAGAAAUCAACCGAGAUUCCCUUAGUAGUGGCGAGCGAACGGGGAACAGCCCUAAAGUGUUGGGUAGGUUAGUGGAAGCGACUGGAACGUCGUGCGAGACAGGGUGAUAGCCCCGUACACGAAAGCCGACCUAACAUGAAAUUGAGUAAGGCGGGACACGAGUAAUCCUGUCUGAAGAGGGGGGGACCAUCCUCCAAGGCUAAAUACUCCCGACCGACCGAUAGUGAACCAGUACCGUGAGGGAAAGGCGAAAAGAACCCCGGUGAGGGGAGUGAAAGAGAACCUGAAACCGUGUGCGUACAAGCAGUCGGAGCCCCUGCGGGGGUGACGGCGUACCUUUUGUAUAAUGGGUCAGCGACUUACUUCUCAGUGGCCAGCUUAACCGGAUAGGGGAGGCGUAGCGAAAGCGAGUCUUAAAAGGGCGAUUGAGUCGCUGGGAGUAGACCCGAAACCGGGCGAUCUACCCAUGGCCAGGGUGAAGGUGGGGUAACACCCACUGGAGGCCCGAACCGGGAGCUGUUGAAAAAGCUUCGGAUGAGCUGUGGGUUGGAGUGAAAGGCUAAUCAAGCUCGGAGAUAGCUGGUUCUCCCCGAAAGCUAUUGAGGUAGCGCCUCGUGUUUCACUCUUGGGGGUAGAGCACUGUUUCGGCUCGGGGGCCAUCCCGGCCUACCAACCCGAGGCAAACUCCGAAUACCGAGAAGUGCGAUCACGGGAGACAGACGGCGGGUGCUAACAUCCGUCGUCGAGAGGGCAACAACCCAGACCGCCAGCUAAGGUCCCUAAAUCAGGCUUGAGUGGGAAACGAUGUGGGAAGGCCCAGACAGCCAGGAGGUUGGCUUAGAAGCAGCCACCCUUUAAAGAAAGCGUAAUAGCUCACUGGUCGAGUCGGCCUGCGCGGAAGAUGUAACGGGGCUUAAAGCCUGUACCGAAGCUGCGGAUGCACGCGAGUGCAUGGUAGGGGAGCGUUCCGUAGGCCGUUGAAGGUCGGUUGUCAAGCCGGCUGGAGGUAUCGGAAGUGCGAAUGCUGACAUAAGUAACGACAACGGGGGUGAAAGUCCCCCGCGCCGAAAACCCAAGGGUUCCUGCGCAACGGUCAUCGGCGCAGGGUGAGUCGGCCCCUAAGGCGAGGCCGAGAGGCGUAGUCGAUGGGAAGCGGGUCAAGAUUCCCGCACCAGACACCACUGCGAUGGGGGGACGGAGAAGGCUAGGUCAGCUGGGUGAUGGUAGUCCCAGUUCAAGGGUGUAGGGAGGACCGUUAGGCAAAUCCGGCGGUUCAAUUCUGAGACCGGAUGACGAGUCUCCACGGAGACGAAGUGAUUGAUGCCCGGCUUCCAAGAAAAGCCUCUAAGCUUCAGGUGGUGUGUGACCGUACCCGAAACCGACACAGGUGGGUUGGGUGAAAAUCCCCAGGCGCUUGAGAGAACUCGGGUGAAGGAACUAGGCAAAAUGGCACCGUAACUUCGGGAGAAGGUGCGCCUCUGAGUAGGUGAAGACCCGCGCGGUUGGAGCCGAGAGAGGUUGCAGUGACCAGGCCGCUGCGACUGUUUAUUAAAAACACAGCACUCUGCCAACGCGUAAGCGGACGUAUAGGGUGUGACGCCUGCCCGGUGCCGGAAGGUUAAGUGAUGGGGUUAUCCGUGAGGAGAAGCUCUUGAUCGAAGCCCCGGUAAACGGCGGCCGUAACUAUAACGGUCCUAAGGUAGCGAAAUUCCUUGUCGGGUAAGUUCCGACCUGCACGAAUGGCGUAACGAUGGCGGCACUGUCUCCACCCGAGACUCAGUGAAAUUGAAUUCUCGGUUAAGAUGCCGAGUUCCCGCGGCUAGACGGAAAGACCCCGUGAACCUUGACUAUAGCUUUGCACUGGACGUUGAACCGACUUGUGUAGGAUAGGUGGGAGGCUGCGAACCCCAAACGCCAGUUUGGGUGGAGCCGACCUUGAAAUACCACCCUGGUUUGUUCGACGUUCUAACCUCGACCCGUGAUCCGGGUCAGGGACCGUGCAUGGUGGGUAGUUUGACUGGGGCGGUCUCCUCCCAAAGGGUAACGGAGGAGCACGAAGGUACCCUCAGGUUGGUCGGAAAUCAACCCGCUGAGUGUAAUGGCACAAGGGUGCUUAACUGCGAGACCGACACGUCGAGCAGGUACGAAAGUAGGUCAUAGUGAUCCGGUGGUUCUGAAUGGAAGGGCCAUCGCUCAACGGAUAAAAGGUACUCCGGGGAUAACAGGCUGAUACCGCCCAAGAGUUCAUAUCGACGGCGGUGUUUGGCACCUCGAUGUCGGCUCAUCACAUCCUGGGGCUGAAGUCGGUCCCAAGGGUAUGGCUGUUCGCCAUUUAAAGUGGUACGCGAGCUGGGUUUAGAACGUCGUGAGACAGUUCGGUCCCUAUCUGCCGUGGGCGUUGGAGAUUUGCGGGACGCUGCUCCUAGUACGAGAGGACCGGAGUGGACGGACCUCUGGUGUUCCGGUUGUCACGCCAGUGGCAGUGCCGGGUAGCUAUGUCCGGACGGGAUAACCGCUGAAAGCAUCUAAGCGGGAAGCCCCUCCCAAGAUCAGAUCUCCCAAGGUACUCAAGACCUCUAAAGGUCCGUUGCAGACGACAACGUCGAUAGGCGGGAUGUGGAAGCGUGGCAACACGUGCAGCUAACCCGUACUAAUUGACCGUGCGGCUUGACCAUAUAACACCCAAGC
Molecule: ribosomal RNA, 2912 nt
Filed under: Thermochromatium tepidum ATCC 43061
Lineage: Bacteria; Pseudomonadati; Pseudomonadota; Gammaproteobacteria; Chromatiales; Chromatiaceae
Description: 23S ribosomal RNA
Rfam family: Bacterial large subunit ribosomal RNA
Source: RNAcentral